This 1361-nucleotide ribosomal RNA is filed under the name uncultured bacterium. RNAcentral describes it as "bacterial SSU rRNA". It matches the Rfam family "Bacterial small subunit ribosomal RNA", at positions 28 to 1381 of the family's 1533-position model. The record is from RNAcentral.
AUUGAACGCUGGCGGCAGGCCUAACACAUGCAAGUCGAGCGGUAGCACAGAGAGCUUGCUCUCGGGUGACGAGCGGCGGACGGGUGAGUAAUGUCUGGGAAACUGCCUGAUGGAGGGGGAUAACUACUGGAAACGGUAGCUAAUACCGCAUAACGUCGCAAGACCAAAGUGGGGGACCUUCGGGCCUCAUGCCAUCAGAUGUGCCCAGAUGGGAUUAGCUAGUAGGUGGGGUAACGGCUCACCUAGGCGACGAUCCCUAGCUGGUCUGAGAGGAUGACCAGCCACACUGGAACUGAGACACGGUCCAGACUCCUACGGGAGGCAGCAGUGGGGAAUAUUGCACAAUGGGCGCAAGCCUGAUGCAGCCAUACCGCGUGUGUGAGGAAGGCCUUCGGGUUGUAAAGCACUUUCAGCGGGGAGGAAGGCGGUGAGGUUAAUAACCUCAUCGAUUGACGUUACCCGCAGAAGAAGCACCGGCUAACUCCGUGCCAGCAGCCGCGGUAAUACGGAGGGUGCAAGCGUUAAUCGGAAUUACUGGGCGUAAAGCGCACGCAGGCGGUCUGUCAAGUCGGAUGUGAAAUCCCCGGGCUUAACCUGGGAACUGCAUUCGAAACUGGCAGGCUAGAGUCUUGUAGGGGGGGGUAGAAUUCCAGGUGUAGCGGUGAAAUGCGUAGAGAUCUGGAGGAAUACCGGUGGCGAAGGCGGCCCCCUGGACAAAGACUGACGCUCAGGUGCGAAAGCGUGGGGAGCAAACAGGAUUAGAUACCCUGGUAGUCCACGCCGUAAACGAUGUCGAUUUGGAGGUUGUGCCCUUGAGGCGUGGCUUCCGGAGCUAACGCGUUAAAUCGACCGCCUGGGGAGUACGGCCGCAAGGUUAAAACUCAAAUGAAUUGACGGGGGCCCGCACAAGCGGUGGAGCAUGUGGUUUAAUUCGAUGCAACGCGAAGAACCUUACCUGGUCUUGACAUCCACAGAACUUUCCAGAGAUGGAUUGGUGCCUUCGGGAACUGUGAGACAGGUGCUGCAUGGCUGUCGUCAGCUCGUGUUGUGAAAUGUUGGGUUAAGUCCCGCAACGAGCGCAACCCUUAUCCUUUGUUGCCAGCGGUCCGGCCGGGAACUCAAAGGAGACUGCCAGUGAUAAACUGGAGGAAGGUGGGGAUGACGUCAAGUCAUCAUGGCCCUUACGACCAGGGCUACACACGUGCUACAAUGGCAUAUACAAAGAGAAGCGACCUCGCGAGAGCAAGCGGACCUCAUAAAGUAUGUCGUAGUCCGGAUUGGAGUCUGCAACUCGACUCCAUGAAGUCGGAAUCGCUAGUAAUCGUAGAUCAGAAUGCUACGGUGAAUACGUUCCCGGGCCU